Pelobates cultripes (western spadefoot toad) is the source of this 284-nucleotide non-coding RNA. The record is from the annotation of a GenBank genome assembly. NCBI's taxonomy places the organism in Eukaryota, Metazoa, Chordata, Amphibia, Anura, Pelobatidae.
CUUCGCUGUCCAUUCCCACAAUCAUUGGUACAAACUGUAUACAAGGAUAUACCCUGCAUAAAAGACCCAUAUAUAUGUGUUACAGACGAUUAUUGGGGACAUGACUGCAGUUCCUGGAGGGCGGCAGAUUGGAACGCGGGAACAGCUUGGGUAUACAAACCACAGAGUGCCCUGGACAGGUUGGACAGAAAUGGGGAAUCCCUAUUACGUAGAAUGACUUUACAGAAACCGGGAGGGGCGACUCCAAUUAAACUUAACCUAAACAUAGAAAAUCCUAGCCCCGG